GGCGCGGUAGCUCAGCCCGGUAGAGCACUCCCUUCGCGGGAGCCGUCGCAGGUUCGAAUCCUGCCCGCGCCG
Molecule: transfer RNA, 72 nt
Filed under: Pseudomonas nitroreducens
Lineage: Bacteria; Pseudomonadati; Pseudomonadota; Gammaproteobacteria; Pseudomonadales; Pseudomonadaceae
Description: tRNA-Arg
Rfam family: tRNA
About the family: Transfer RNA (tRNA) molecules are approximately 80 nucleotides in length. Their secondary structure includes four short double-helical elements and three loops (D, anti-codon, and T loops). Further hydrogen bonds mediate the characteristic L-shaped molecular structure. tRNAs have two regions of fundamental functional importance: the anti-codon, which is responsible for specific mRNA codon recognition, and the 3' end, to which the tRNAs corresponding amino acid is attached (by aminoacyl-tRNA synthetases). tRNAs cope with the degeneracy of the genetic code in two manners: having more than one tRNA (with a specific anti-codon) for a particular amino acid; and 'wobble' base-pairing, i.e. permitting non-standard base-pairing at the 3rd anti-codon position.
Source: RNAcentral